UGAAUAUGAUGUUAAUGUUAAUUAUGAUUCGAAUUACUUUGAUUAAUAUUAUUUUGUUAUGAAAUCUCACCCCUUCUGCUUGAAAAUGUUGCCCUUGGUAUGGGUAACUUGCAGGUGAUCGUGUUUAGUGUGCAGUUUGCUGUUGUGAGUGACCUUGCCUCACUGUGUCGUCUAGGUCGCUCUGAUACGUAACGGGAUGGGGUUAUUUGCAUGCUUCAUUCUCUUACGUGACUGCCAUGUUUAUGUUUUAUGUUAUUGAACUAUCUCUUUGAGAAUUACUUGAUGAGGCCUGCGUGCCAAAACACUUUAUGAUUAUGAUAUGAUUUUCUGCUGCAAUGUUUAAGAUAAUUGGUUAAAUUAUUAUUUAACAGUUCUGGACUAUGUUUUAUGCGAUACCUCGUUGAUUAUGAUGCUUACUCU
This 420-nucleotide long non-coding RNA is filed under the name Medicago truncatula (barrel medic). Its description in RNAcentral is "lncRNA gene13615". The record is from RNAcentral. Lineage: Eukaryota; Viridiplantae; Streptophyta; Magnoliopsida; Fabales; Fabaceae.